Molecule: non-coding RNA, 140 nt
Organism: Lachnospiraceae bacterium
Lineage: Bacteria; Bacillati; Bacillota; Clostridia; Lachnospirales; Lachnospiraceae
Source: Rfam
GGUUCUGAAUUGAACCGGCCGAAGACAGCAGGUGCGCGGAUGCGCGUAAGGCGAAAACGCCUGCCGAGGAAAUAAGAGUUUUUAUUUAAUUGACUUUUAUGGGCUCCUGUCUUUUGGCGGGAGCCUUUUCGUUUAUCGUA